Pichia kudriavzevii is the source of this 82-nucleotide non-coding RNA. The record is from Rfam. Lineage: Eukaryota; Fungi; Ascomycota; Pichiomycetes; Pichiales; Pichiaceae.
GUCAGUUUGUCCGAGUGGUUAAGGAGAAAGACUUGAAAUCUUUUGGCCUCUGGCCGCACAGGUUCGAAUCCUGUAGCUGACG